UACGUAGGGCGCAAGCGUUGUCCGGAAUUAUUGGGCGUAAAGAGCUCGUAGGCGGUCUGUCGCGUCUGCCGUGAAAACCCGAGGCUUAACCUCGUGGCUUGCGGUGGAUACGGGCAGACUAGAGGUAGGUAGGGGAGAAUGGAAUUCCCGGUGUAGCGGUGAAAUGCGCAGAUAUCGGGAGGAACACCGGUGGCGAAGGCGGUUCUCUGGGCCUUACCUGACGCUGAGGCGCGAAAGCGUGGGGAGCGAACGGG
RNAcentral lists this ribosomal RNA (254 nucleotides) under uncultured bacterium. Its description in RNAcentral is "partial 16S ribosomal RNA". It matches the Rfam family "Bacterial small subunit ribosomal RNA", at positions 524 to 776 of the family's 1533-position model. The record is from RNAcentral.